UAAACCUUCACUUCUUUAUAUCUCCUCUUAUCCUCCAGGCCCCAAGGGUGUAUCGCAACCAGAUGGUGAUCAGGUCCAGUCCCAUUUCAAGCCAACUCAGCACUGGAGUCAUCUUUGUGCCUGGAAGGCCACUUCCUCGAUGGGCAUCCCUAAAGACUGCGCCAAGUACAGCAUUUCAACAUCAAAAGCCCUGAAAAUAAAUACACAUAAGACUCCAAAAAUACACAAUAAUUGCUGAAGCCAAGGAGACUAGGAAGGUGUCCGACCCUCCAAUGCAGGAUUCUUAAGUUUGGGAUUGCCCCACACCUAUCAAAAUGGCCACAGCUGAAGCUGUUGGCAAUGUCCCAUUCCUUUUUACCUCAGCCUCCUGUAAAAUAGAGGCUACAACUUUCAUGGUUGCCACUUGAUGCACCUGAAUCCUUUUUAGCAGAUAUUUAUUACAUACAUGAAUACAGAUGUGUAUUCUUAAUCACCAUGUGUAAGGACUAAACUAUACAGUAGACAACCUCUGAACAUUACCCCUUCUUCAGAAUAUACAUACAUCAAACUGUA
Eriocheir sinensis (Chinese mitten crab) is the source of this 552-nucleotide long non-coding RNA. RefSeq lists it as uncharacterized. Lineage: Eukaryota; Metazoa; Arthropoda; Malacostraca; Decapoda; Varunidae. The transcript is spliced from 2 exons. The record is from RefSeq and is a predicted model, not a curated record.